GAAUUCGCCCUUAGAGUUUGAUUUUGGCUCAGGACGAACGCUGGCGGCGUGCCUAACACAUGCAAGUCGAACGAAGCAAGAGUCUUCGGACUCUUACUUAGUGGCGGACGGGUGAGUAACGCGUGAAUAACCUGCCCUUCAGUGUGGAAUAACGUCUGGAAACGGACGGUAAUACCGCAUAACAUCUUAGUGCCGCAUGACACAGAGAUCAAAGGAACAAUUCGCUGAAGGAUGGAUUCGCGUCCGAUUAGCCAGUUGGCGGGGUAACGGCCCACCAAAGCGACGAUCGGUAGCCGGACUGAGAGGUCGAACGGCCACAUUGGGACUGAGACACGGCCCAGACUCCUACGGGAGGCAGCAGUGGGGAAUAUUGCACAAUGGGCGAAAGCCUGAUGCAGCAACGCCGCGUGAGCGAUGAAGGCCUUCGGGUUGUAAAGCUCUGUCCUCAAGGAAGAUAAUGACGGUACUUGAGGAGGAAGCCCCGGCUAACUACGUGCCAGCAGCCGCGGUAAUACGUAGGGGGCUAGCGUUAUCCGGAAUUACUGGGCGUAAAGGGCGUGUAGGCGGCUCUUUAAGUCUGGAGUGAAAGUCCUGCUUUCAAGGUGGGAAUUGCUUUGGAGACUGGAGAGCCUGAGUGCGGAAGAGGUAAGUGGAAUUCCCAGUGUAGCGGUGAAAUGCGUAGAGAUUGGGAGGAACCCCGAUUGCGAAGGCAGCAUGCCAGUGCGCCACUGACGCUAAAGCUCGAAAGUGCGGGUAUCGAACAGGAUUAGAUACCCUGGUAGUCCGCACGGUAAACGAUGGAUGCCCGCCGUCCGCGCCGUUGGCGUGUGCGGCCAAGCGAAAGCAUUAAGCAUCCCACCUGGGGAGUACGCCGGCAACGGUGAAACUCAAAGGAAUUGACGGGGGCCCGCACAAGCGGAGGAACAUGUGGUUUAAUUCGAUGAUACGCGAGGAACCUUACCCGGGCUUGAAUUGUGGCAGGCGUGCCUGGAGACAGGCAUUCCCCUCGGGGCUGCCAUGAAGGUGCUGCAUGGUUGUCGUCAGCUCGUGCCGUGAGGUGUCGGCUUAAGUGCCAUAACGAGCGCAACCCUUGUCAUUAGUUGCCAUCACUAAGGGUGGGCACUCUAAUGAGACUGCCGGGGACAACUCGGAGGAAGGUGGGGAUGACGUCAAAUAAUCAUGCCCCUUACGUUCUGGGCUACACACGUGCUACAAUGGUCGGUACAAAGAGCAGCGAGACCGUGAGGUGGAGCAAAUCUCAAAAACCGAUCCCAGUUCGGAUUGCAGGCUGCAACUCGCCUGCAUGAAGUCGGAGUUGCUAGUAAUCGCGAAUCAGAAUGUCGCGGUGAAUGCGUUCCCGGGUCUUGUACUCACCGCCCGUCA
RNAcentral lists this ribosomal RNA (1383 nucleotides) under uncultured bacterium. Its description in RNAcentral is "partial 16S ribosomal RNA". It matches the Rfam family "Bacterial small subunit ribosomal RNA". The record is from RNAcentral.